This 1948-nucleotide long non-coding RNA is filed under the name Rattus norvegicus (Norway rat). RNAcentral describes it as "long non-coding RNA NONRATT011576". Lineage: Eukaryota; Metazoa; Chordata; Mammalia; Rodentia; Muridae. The record is from RNAcentral.
UUGUCAGAAACGUGUCGUAGUUUGAGAACACAAAUCUGCCCUGAAGUGGAGAAAUCCGGCGCUGUGGUAUGUAUAGUACACAGUAUGGCUUUCUAUCGGAAGAAACAAGUGCACUUGUGGUUUUCCUAACUGAUGACUUCUGUGAUUUCCACAGUUUCAGUGAAUCAGCUGCUACCAAUCAUUCACACUUUUCUUGGAAAAUCACUGUUGGAUUUGAAAGGCAUGCAUAGGUGGAAUAUUCUAAAAAUCGUUCUCCACUGUCUGUUGUUUGAUUGGUGUCGAUUCACAAAAUUAAGUCUUAAUUUUUCCUAAGGAAGAUUUGUACUUAAUUAUUGAAAUGAAAAGGAUUUCAUAAAUUUUUAAGCCAUAAUAAGUAGAAUUAAAGUAGAAUUAAUUUUCCUAAUAAAUUAUGCUUUGCUAUUCAUUGUAGUAAAAAUGCUGCAUGAUGACAAUUUUUUUUGUAGAAUAUUCAUGUUUUCACCAAUCCCUUUUUGUUUUUCUUCUAAUGUUUCAGGGGAUGACACUACAUAAAAAGGCGGCUGAAGACAGACUAGCUAGCACAGGUUCAGGGCAGUCGUUUCUGGCUAGGCAAAGACAAGCAACCAGCACAAGAAGAUCCUACCCAGGCCAUGUCCAGCCAGCCACAGCCAGGUAGAAAGGUCUUGUCCGGGGAGUUUUUAAAAAGCAUACUUCUGUUACACAUGACAACAUUUCAGGAAAUUCAGCCAGCUUGUUUAAUUUCUCACCUGUGUUAAUACUUAGUGUUUCUCACGUGAAGAUUUCUCUCUCUCGUAUCUUUUAGUUACUUUGUCCUUUACUUUAUGGUCUUUUCAGUUCCUUUUAAUGUGCCAAAAAUUUGUAAAUGUACAAUUAAAAGUGUUGUAUAAUAGUGUAAUACUUUUUCUUUGUAUGAAAAUGUCUUCUUCCCCAUUUGUGUGGGCUUUGUAAAGAAUUGGAUUUUCUGCCAAUAAUUGAUACACAAUUUAUAUUCUUUAUCGUGCCUACUGUGUUACCAUACUUUAUAAGAAUGUCUUUGUUUAAAGGGAAUUAAUCUUUUUAUGGUGUAUUAAUCUGUGUUUUCGAUUGUUUUCCAAUGCACUUCAGAUAACUUAAAUAUUUACUGUACUAUACGAAGUGAUGUCAGAUGCACGUUUUGCAAAGACAAAUACAUUGGCAGAGGUGCUAGUCAGCCUGGGGCACCUGGCAAGGUCACUCAGAGGGGAGGAAUUAAACUUAUUCUAAGUUCAAUUAUAUUGGAGUUAUUAUGUGAAAUUUCAUUCUUUCCUGCUGUAUUGUUUGCUGGCAGAAGUGAAAUUGGUAAAGAUAUAUGGGUAGAAAUUACAGAGGAUAAGAACUUGGCAGGAUUUUUUUUUUCCUUCCUUUGGAAUGUCAUAGUAGCUAAGAAUCAGAUUCUAGCCAUGCACUUUUAAUUGCUCUCCACAUGUAAAGGAUUUAUUUUCAUAUAGGUAGCCUUAUCUUUGGGGCAGUUCUUUGACUAUGCCUCAUAUGUUUUAUAUAUUCUGUGAGCCUUUCCUUUUCUUAAUUAAUCGUGAUAGCUAACAUCUUAAUGCAACUCAUUAGCACCAGUACCUGACUCUGUGUGCAAUGUUAUGACAGAGCUCUCUGUAGUUUUCCUUAGCUCUACCUACAAGUCCAAGAAUUGGUAACAUGAGAGAUUUUCUUGGGUAUUUGGUUGUUAAAAGUGCUUACAUUGUAUGCCAGACUUACUGACGUAGAUGAAUGUCUGUUAAGCAAUCAUGUGAAGUACUUUGUCUAUAUAAGUAAUUAUAUAAUUUUAAACUGUCAUUUAUUUGAAAAUAAUCUACUUUUGUCUUUUUCUAUAUUGAUUUGUGAAUUUGAUCCCAAAUUAUAUUGAAGGUUUCCUCCAGCCUUUCUCUUGUUCCAUACACCAUAUUUUUGAAAAGAAAAAAAAAUCUGAGAUUAGGUC